CUUGGUCAUUUAGAGGAAGUAAAAGUCGUAACAAGGUCUCCGUUGGUGAACCAGCGGAGGGAUCAUUACCGAGUUUACAACUCCCAAACCCCUGUGAACAUACCUUAAUGUUGCCUCGGCGGAUCAGCCCGCGCCCCGUAAAACGGGACGGCCCGCCAGAGGACCCAAACUCUAAUGUUUCUUAUUGUAACUUCUGAGUAAAACAAACAAAUAAAUCAAAACUUUCAACAACGGAUCUCUUGGUUCUGGCAUCGAUGAAGAACGCAGCAAAAUGCGGUAAGUAAUGUGAAUUGCAGAAUUCAGUGAAUCAUCGAAUCUUUGAACGCACAUUGCGCCCGCUGGUAUUCCGGCGGGCAUGCCUGUUCGAGCGUCAUUUCAACCCUCAAGCCCCCGGGUUUGGUGUUGGGGAUCGGCUCUGCCUUCUGGCGGUGCCGCCCCCGAAAUACAUUGGCGGUCUCGCUGCAGCCUCCAUUGCGUAGUAGCUAACACCUCGCAACUGGAACGCGGCGCGGCCAUGCCGUAAAACCCCAACUUCUGAAUGUUGACCUCGGAUCAGGUAGGAAUACCCGCUGAACUUAAGCAUAUCAAUAAGCGGAGGAAAAGAAACCAACAGGGAUUGCCCUAGUAACGGCGAGUGAAGCGGCAACAGCUCAAAUUUGAAAUCUGGCUUUCGGGCCCGAGUUGUAAUUUGUAGAGGAUACUUUUGAUGCGGUGCCUUCCGAGUUCCCUGGAACGGGACGCCAUAGAGGGUGAGAGCCCCGUCUGGUUGGAUGCCAAAUCUCUGUAAAGUUCCUUCGACGAGUCGAGUUGUUUGGGAAU
This 819-nucleotide small RNA is filed under the name uncultured Fusarium. Its description in RNAcentral is "eukaryotic LSU rRNA". The stretch from base 543 to 819 matches the Rfam family "Eukaryotic large subunit ribosomal RNA", at positions 1 to 281 of the family's 3401-position model. The record is from RNAcentral. Lineage: Eukaryota; Fungi; Ascomycota; Sordariomycetes; Hypocreales; Nectriaceae.